Molecule: ribosomal RNA, 431 nt
Filed under: uncultured Alphaproteobacteria bacterium
Lineage: Bacteria; Pseudomonadati; Pseudomonadota; Alphaproteobacteria
Description: bacterial SSU rRNA
Rfam family: Bacterial small subunit ribosomal RNA
Source: RNAcentral
AACGAACGCUGGCGGCAGGUCUAACACAUGCAAGUCGAACGAACUCUUCGGAGUUAGUGGCGCACGGGUGCGGAACACGUGGGAAUGUACCCCUAGGUAAGGAAUAACUGCUGGAAACGGUAGCUAAUACCUUAUAAUAUCUUCGGAUCAAAGAUUUAUCGCCUAGGGAUCAGCCCGCGUCUGAUUAGCUUGUUGGUGAGGUAAUGGCUCACCAAGGCUACGAUCAGUAGGGGGUCUGAGAGGAUGAUCCCCCACACUGGUACUGAGACACGGACCAGACUCCUACGGGAGGCAGCAGUGAAGAAUAUUGGACAAUGGAGGAAACUCUGAUCCAGCCAUGCCGCGUGAGUGAAGACGGCCUUAGGGUUGUAAAGCUCUUUCAGAUGUGAAGAUAAUGACGGUAGCAUCAGAAGAAGCCCCGGCUAAAUUCG